This 227-nucleotide ribosomal RNA is filed under the name uncultured bacterium. Its description in RNAcentral is "partial 16S ribosomal RNA". It matches the Rfam family "Bacterial small subunit ribosomal RNA", at positions 1275 to 1500 of the family's 1533-position model. The record is from RNAcentral.
CUUAAAGCCGUUCUCAGUUCGGAUUGUAGGCUGCAACUCGCCUACAUGAAGUCGGAAUCGCUAGUAAUCGCGGAUCAGCAUGCCGCGGUGAAUACGUUCCCGGGCCUUGUACACACCGCCCGUCACACCAUGAGAGUUUGUAACACCCAAAGCCGGUGGGGUAACCUUUUGGAGCCAGCCGUCUAAGGUGGGACAGAUGAUUGGGGGUGAAGUCGUAACAAGGUACC